AAGUCGUAACAAGGUUUCCGUAGGUGAACCUGCGGAAGGAUCAUUACAAAUCAUGUGGUGUUGGUAUGAAAGUAUCAACGCUAAUUGUUCGGUGCAGCAAUGCAUCGUUUCGCGCUUGUAUGUUUGUCAGAGUAAAGAUACACUUUAAAGAGACAACUUUUAACAAUGGAUCUCUUGGCUCUU
RNAcentral lists this unclassified non-coding RNA (183 nucleotides) under fungal sp. RNAcentral's name for it is "partial contains small subunit ribosomal RNA, internal transcribed spacer 1, and 5.8S ribosomal RNA". The stretch from base 1 to 46 matches the Rfam family "Eukaryotic small subunit ribosomal RNA", at positions 1786 to 1831 of the family's 1831-position model. Lineage: Eukaryota; Fungi. The record is from RNAcentral.